GUGCGGGUCGUAUAACGGCGAGUACACCAGCCUUCCAAGCUGGGAGCGGGGGUUCGAUUCCCCUUCCGCACUCCA
Molecule: transfer RNA, 75 nt
Filed under: Candidatus Gemmiger avicola
Lineage: Bacteria; Bacillati; Bacillota; Clostridia; Eubacteriales; Oscillospiraceae
Description: tRNA-Gly
Rfam family: tRNA
About the family: Transfer RNA (tRNA) molecules are approximately 80 nucleotides in length. Their secondary structure includes four short double-helical elements and three loops (D, anti-codon, and T loops).
Source: RNAcentral